This 567-nucleotide long non-coding RNA is filed under the name Pongo abelii (Sumatran orangutan). RNAcentral describes it as "lincRNA". The record is from RNAcentral. Lineage: Eukaryota; Metazoa; Chordata; Mammalia; Primates; Hominidae.
AUCUUUGGACGCAUUUCUCACAGGAGUUGAUGUAGCAUUACAUGUUCUGCUUGCUGCAUUUUUGGGAGAAGUGCAUGCAGAUACUCAAGUGACUCACAGACAUGCAACAGCUCAGAAGGCCAUCCUGUUUGUCUUUCAGUGAGAAGGAAAAGCCAAUAAACAUGUUGAACAUCAGGCAAAUUUGAACCACCAUGGGACAUUAUCUUGUGUCAUGAACAGACCACAGUUGACUCUCGGUUCCAGCAAGUGGGAGCUGGGGGGAGUGAAAAUCGGCACGCAGCUGUGGACAGCAACUGAUAACACAAGCGUCCUGAGUGCGCAAAACAGAGGCGAAUCCCUCUCAACCCAGUGACCCCACAUCUGGGACUCUUCCAGAGGAAUAACGCCAAACACUGGAAAUCAUUAGGUGCCUCCACCCCUGAGGCAGAGCAAGGGGGCGAUGGGGCAUCACCCUUCAUCUAGUGGCUGCCACGGAAGUGAUGGUGGGUGCCCAAUAGGCAGGCCCUAUUGAUCUGGUUUGUUUAUUUGAGACAGGGUCUCACUCUGUUGCCCAGGCUGGAGUGCAGU